This is a long non-coding RNA of Pogoniulus pusillus (Red-fronted tinkerbird), 2184 nucleotides long. RefSeq lists it as uncharacterized. NCBI's taxonomy places the organism in Eukaryota, Metazoa, Chordata, Aves, Piciformes, Lybiidae. The transcript is spliced from 2 exons. The record is from RefSeq and is a predicted model, not a curated record.
GCCUGGUUUAUAAUGUUUUCAAUCUGACAAAUCUGUGUGAAGCACUUUGGAUAAUAAGCAUGCAGGGGUCCCAAAACACUCCCACGGGGAAGAAGAAUACUGUAUUCCAAGAUGAGAACACUGGAGACUUUGGCCAGGAAUGUGACCCACAACUGGUGCCAGAUGGACCAAAGGUAGAGAAGUCAGACUGAGGAAGACAUCGAGCCUUCAUCAAAAAGACCCCAAAUGAUGAGCACCAGGUGGGACAGGAUGGAAAUGAGUUCCAGGAACUGACUGUAAUAACUCCACCUAUUCCCAGAACUAAUUGUGCUAACCCUACCCCUGUAUUGAAUGUGUUAUGAUUUUGCAGCAUAAGUACUUUACCUGAGCAAGGUGAAGGUGUGCAAGGGCUCUAGAGGGUGAGCCCCCCUUGUCACCCAGCACUGAUUAAAAAGCAUGUCUUACCUCUCUGACAUGUUGUGAGGUUUUUCUGUGAGUCAUUGUCUUACCUUUUAACAGGUUUUUCAACUUAACCUAAACUACUUAUAAGUUCUUAAAAUUAUUUGUAGCUUGAAUAUAAAUACUUAUAGUUUAUAGAUUCUCCUUAAAGAAUAAAACAGGAAUUGCUGUAAGUCAGAUUAAUAUUGAUUGAUGUUAUCAUGCCACUUGCUGAAAUGUUGCAACUAAACUCCUUCAAGUUUUAUGUAGACCAGUGUGAUUGUGAAUUAUCACACCCUGCAGCCCCUUAAGCUGAUGGAUUGUUGCUGUCUAACAUGUAACAGCAGGUAGCUAUCGAGGAGUAGACAUACAUAAGCUGUUGGAUCAACAGAGUUAUCUGAAAAAUGGAGCUGUUCCAUGGGCUGAGAUGCCUGAGUUUUAUUAAUGGGAUCCUAAAAUAAAAAGAUCUAGGAGUAGGUUGAGUUUUUUUCUUUUCUUUGUAGCAAAGCUAAAGGAAGUGAGGAGGGGAAAUUUGACCAUAUGCAGUAUGUUGAAAUAACUUCAGGAAUGUUACUUGAUUAUGAUGAAAAUAGAAUAAUUGUCUGUGUGUGGCCCUGCAGAUUUGAUUAUCAAAGUGCUUACUUUGGAUCAAUUCAGUAUUCAGCUUCACAGAAGACAAGAAGAGUCUUGCUCAAUCUACCAGGCCAUAUGAUGGGCAGACUUUACCGAUUGGAAGCACCUCAUCAAUGUCUUAUGGGCUGUUAAAAUGUGCAUUAAGUUUGGCAUUUUAUGAGGACAGCUGCCUAACAGGAAAAUACCUGAGCAAUUGUCUGCUAAAAGGAAACCCUUCUAAAGCCAAAUUGCUUGGUAAAACAAAUCAAAUAGCUCUUAGGGGCAAGGAUUUAACAUGACAUAAAUCAACAAUGUUGUACAGAAAUUACUCUUACUAACCUGUAGGAAUGAAUGCAAAGCACCAUCCUGUCACAGUUUUUAACCAUAUGCUCAGUAUUCUGCAAAGAAAAAGCAGGAUUUUAUCUCAAAUGAAGUAAGGUUGUCCAAAAAACCUUCACAAAAGUAGUGUGAUGGUUUGGGUGUUCCCCAUCCCCCCCCAACUUUAGAAAUCACCCAGACUAGACUCAGUCAGCUCUGGAAAUAUGAAUGAAGCUAUUUAUUUACAGCUGGCACAAUAUACAAGCAGGUAUUUACAGUCUAUGCAGUUAUAGACAGAAAUAGACAAGGGAAAGGGUAAUACAGAAACACAACUCCCCUCCCAGAAACCUGAGUCCCCAGGAGGGGCUCUCAACCACCCCUGCACCUUCCCCUACCCCUCUCAACCUUACCCCAGUCCUAAGGAAGAAUGGAGGUUCAGCCAAGAGGUUAAGAAGCAAAGGUGGGUUAGUCUAAAUGAAGGGUGAGGUUAGGGAGCAAGAUGUUGCUCAGCCAGCAGCCCAAGCCAGAGUGAGAGAAAAAUGGCCAGAGUGUUAUCUGAUGUUUUCAUUUCUUGUUCAGCAAGACUCUGAGGGAAGCAGACAUCACCACUGCUUUCCUUUUACAGCCUGUGAUCUACUUCUUCUCACCAAAACAUUCUACCCUGCUUCAUACUAGCACAAGUAGUCAUUUUGUUGCUAACAUUAAUUAUGUCUUUUGCAAGUAUAUUUUCUGUUUAGGGAGAAAAUGAAGGAAGAGCCUGAAAAAAAAAAUCCCAAACUGCUACUUAUUGAUACUGUUAUGUUUUUAGACAAGGCUAAUAAAAGGAGUAUUUUUUGA